RNAcentral lists this ribosomal RNA (478 nucleotides) under uncultured bacterium. RNAcentral's name for it is "partial 16S ribosomal RNA". It matches the Rfam family "Bacterial small subunit ribosomal RNA", at positions 28 to 507 of the family's 1533-position model. The record is from RNAcentral.
GACGAACGCUGGCGGCGUGCUUAACACAUGCAAGUCGAGCGGGAUUUAGUAGACAGAAGCCUCGGCUAAAGAUUACUAAUGAGAGUGGCGAACGGGUGAGUAACGCGUGAGCAACCUGCCUAUGACAGUGGGAUAGCCUCGGGAAACCGGGAUUAAUACCGCAUAAAAUCGUAGAAACACAUGUUUUAACGGUCAAAGAUUUAUCGGUCAUAGAUGGGCUCGCGUCUGAUUAGCUAGUUGGUGAGAUAACAGCCCACCAAGGCGACGAUCAGUAGCCGGUCUGAGAGGAUGAACGGCCACAUUGGAACUGAGACACGGUCCAAACUCCUACGGGAGGCAGCAGUGGGGAAUAUUGCACAAUGGGGGAAACCCUGAUGCAGCGACGCCGCGUGAACGAAGAAGGUAUUCGUAUCGUAAAGUUCUGUCCUAUGGGAAGAUAAUGACAGUACCAUAGAAGAAAGCUCCGGCUAAAUACGUG